AGCUACUAUAGUUAAUUCAAUGAAUGAGUUUCGUCUCCUCUGCUACUACCUCAGACAUUCAAGAAAUGAGGUCAAUUCCAUGUUCAAAAGAUUCUUAAUGCAUUAAUCCAUGUUUCAACCAUUUUAUCUGAGAGAGUUUGGAUUAUAUGUAUGGAGGAGAGAUUUUAUAUCUAAAAAUUGUAUUUCUUAUUUUCAUUUGGUAUUAUUAUUUUGGAAGACGAGUUAACAUGUUCUUGUGAACCUAAGUUUAUUGUUAUUUUAAUGGAAAAUCUAAGUUAGUUA
Humulus lupulus (European hop) is the source of this 282-nucleotide long non-coding RNA. RefSeq lists it as uncharacterized. Lineage: Eukaryota; Viridiplantae; Streptophyta; Magnoliopsida; Rosales; Cannabaceae. The record is from RefSeq and is a predicted model, not a curated record. The transcript is spliced from 2 exons.